CCAAUAGCGUAUAUUAAAGUUGUUGCAGUUAAAAAGCUCGUAGUUGAAUUUCGGGAUUGACGUGAUGGUCAUGCCUUAAGGGGUAUGAACUGUUGCUGUUGAUUUCUCACCUUCUGGAGAAACUUGAUGUCCUUUAUUGGGUGUCUUGCGGAUCCAGGACCUUUACCUUGAAAAAAUUAGAGUGUUUAAAGCAGGCAUUUUUGCUCGAAUACAUUAGCAUGGAAUAAUAGAAUAGGACGGCAUGGUUCUAUUUUGUUGGCUUCUAGGAUCACCGUAAUGAUUAAUAGGGAUAGUUGGGGGCAUUAGUAUUCAAUUGUCAGAGGUGAAAUUCUUGGAUUUAUUGAAGACUAACUACUGCGAAAGCAUUUGCCAAGGAUGUUUUCAUUAAUCAAGAACGAAAGUUAGGGGAUCGAAGACGAUCAGAUACCGUCGUAGUCUUAACCAUAAACUAUGCCGACUAGGAAUCAGACGAUGUUAAUUUUUUAAUGACUCGUUUGGCACCUUACG
Molecule: ribosomal RNA, 507 nt
Filed under: uncultured Glomeromycotina
Lineage: Eukaryota; Fungi; Glomeromycota
Description: partial small subunit ribosomal RNA
Rfam family: Eukaryotic small subunit ribosomal RNA
Source: RNAcentral